Molecule: ribosomal RNA, 465 nt
Filed under: uncultured bacterium
Lineage: Bacteria
Description: partial 16S ribosomal RNA
Rfam family: Bacterial small subunit ribosomal RNA
Source: RNAcentral
GACGAACGCUGGCGGCGUGCUUAACACAUGCAAGUCGAACGGAAAGGCCCUGCUUGCAGGGUACUCGAGUGGCGAACGGGUGAGUAACACGUGGGUGAUCUGCCCUGCACUUCGGGAUAAGCCUGGGAAACUGGGUCUAAUACCGGAUAGGAGCCAUUUUUAGUGUGAUGGUUGGAAAGUUCUUUCGGUGUAGGAUGAGCUCGCAGCCUAUCAGCUUGUUGGUGGGGUAAUGGCCUACCAAGGCGGCGACGGGUAGCCGGCCUGAGAGGGUGGACGGCCACAUUGGGACUGAGAUACGGCCCAGACUCCUACGGGAGGCAGCAGUGGGGAAUAUUGCACAAUGGGCGCAAGCCUGAUGCAGCGACGCCGCGUGGGGGAGGACGGCCUUCGGGUUGUAAACUCCUUUCGCUAGGGACGAAGCUUUUUGUGACGGUACCUAGAUAAGAAGCACCGGCUAACUACGUG